This 270-nucleotide ribosomal RNA is filed under the name Triticum aestivum (bread wheat). RNAcentral's name for it is "partial small subunit ribosomal RNA". The record is from RNAcentral. Lineage: Eukaryota; Viridiplantae; Streptophyta; Magnoliopsida; Poales; Poaceae.
AUGCAUUGGGUGUCAUGGAAAGAGUUAGCUACACCCAAGUGCAAUGGUGGUAUGGGUUUCUGAGACCUACACCAAUUUAACCUUGCAAUAUUGGGAAAUCAUGGAUGGCGGUUUUUGACAAAUCUGAACUCCUUCCAUACAAGAGUUUUGAAAGGCCUAUACUUUCGUGACACUGAUUUCAUGCAAGCAUCCGCCCCCAAGUCGGCCUCAUCCACAUGGAAGGCGAUCAUUGCGGGAAGAGAGGCGCUAAGGAUUGGGUUCAUUUCAUGA